RNAcentral lists this ribosomal RNA (433 nucleotides) under uncultured bacterium. RNAcentral's name for it is "partial 16S ribosomal RNA". It matches the Rfam family "Bacterial small subunit ribosomal RNA", at positions 29 to 507 of the family's 1533-position model. The record is from RNAcentral.
AACGAACGCUGGCGGCAUGCCUAACACAUGCAAGUCGAACGAGACCUUCGGGUCUAGUGGCGCACGGGUGUGUAACGCGUGGGAACCUGAACUUAGGUUCGGAAUAACUCUCCGAAAGGGGUGCUAAUACCGGAUAAUGUCUUCGGACCAAGGAUUUUUUGCCUUUGGAUGGGCCGGCGUUGGAUUAGCUGGUUGGUAGGGUAAAAGCCUACUAAGGCGUCGAUCCAUAGCUGGGCACAGAGGCUGGUCAGCGACACUUGGACUGAGACACGGCCCGGACUCCUACGGGAGGCAGCAGUGGGGAAUAUUGGACAGUGGGCGAAAGCCUGAUCCAGCAAUGCCGGGUAAGUGAUGAAGGCCUGAGAGUAGUAAAGCGCUUUUACCCGGGAUGAUAAUGACAGUACCGAAAGAAUAAGCUCCGGCUAACUCCGUG